This 460-nucleotide ribosomal RNA is filed under the name uncultured bacterium. Its description in RNAcentral is "partial 16S ribosomal RNA". It matches the Rfam family "Bacterial small subunit ribosomal RNA", at positions 338 to 795 of the family's 1533-position model. The record is from RNAcentral.
CCUACGGGAGGCUGCAGUGAGGAAUAUUGGUCAAUGGGCGCGAGCCUGAACCAGCCAAGUCGCGUGAGGGAUGACUGUCCUACGGAUUGUAAACUUCUUUUGUCGGGGAGUAAAAUACGCCACGCGUGGCGUUCCGUGAGUACCUUAUGAAAAAGCAUCGGCUAACUCCGUGCCAGCAGCCGCGGUAAUACGUAGGAUGCGAGCGUUAUCCGGAAUGACUGGGUGUAAAGGGUGCGUAGGUGGUUUGGCAAGUUAGUAGCGAAACUCUAAGGCUCAACCUUGAAACUACUACUGAUACUGGUGGACUUGAGUGCAGUAGAGGCAACCGGAAUUCCUAGUGUAGCGGUGGAAUGCGUAGAUAUUAGGAAGAACACCAGUGGCGAAGGCAGGUUACUAAACUGUAACUGACACUGAGGCACGAAAGCGUGGGGAGCAAACAGGAUUAGAUACCCCUGUAGUC